Molecule: unclassified non-coding RNA, 4454 nt
Filed under: Hevea brasiliensis (rubber tree)
Lineage: Eukaryota; Viridiplantae; Streptophyta; Magnoliopsida; Malpighiales; Euphorbiaceae
Source: RNAcentral
GAAUCCUACUCCUUUCGCCCUAUGUUCUAUUUUCCUGUAGGAAAGAGAAAACCCACACAGAGAGGGAAACCAGAGAAAAGUAUACACCUUUUGCAGUAUAGAUCUGACCGCUAAAGGUUUGUUUCUCUCUCUGCAUCAUUACUGUUCUGAUUAUAUAAGAAUUUUCUUUUGAUGCGAGUAAUAGCAAGUGUCUCUUGUUCAUACUUUCUCUUCUUCUUUUUUUGGGCCUUGUGUUGUGAAGUUACGGUUGUGAUGAUGGUGGCGGUGGCGGUGAUGUGACGAGGUCGUAGGCUGAUUUGGAUUUACAUUGAUUAGCUUUUUCUUCCUGCAUUAACAGACUAAUGAUAUCGAUUAUUUUAGUUGUAGUAGUUGCUCUUCUAUUGGCAUUGCUUGAAUUAACUUUGUAUGGUGCUAAUACUGGUAAUACGCGUAGCUUAUGUGUAUAGGGCUGAACAAAUAUUAUCAAUACCUUAUGUUAAAUCUGCUUCCAAUUGUGUGCCAUUGGUAAUGUUGUUAUAAUUCUAAAGAUGUGCAUUUUUCUUUGACAGCUUAUUGAUAUAUUUUCUUUGAUCUUCGUGUUGUAUUGCAAUUUCUUUGACUCGUUUGCAUUGUUUGUAAUCAAUGUGUGCCAUUUUUGAAGAUUUCUGUAUGAAAUUGAUUUGGUGAUACAAAUCAAUGCGAUCAACACCUGAACAUAAAAAAGGUAAACAUUUCAUCAGAUUAUUAGUUCUUAGUUUCCAAACUUCUUCACUUGUGAAGACAGCCUUCUUUGAACCCUUGGUGUCUGUCUUAGGAUUUAUUCUUUUGAGAGCAUUAUGGAGUUUUGUGGUGGAAAAGAGUAUUAUUGGAGGGGGUUAACUAGGUUCAAAUACAAAGAAAAGGGUAGGGUUAUGGCAUCAUAUUAGGAAGAGGGGUUAUGUGAUUGUGUUUAUUUUUAAGUCAAUGAUGGAUGAUUUAUUCUUGGCAUGGUUCUUGGUGUGCAAAAGUCUUUAUUAAAAAAGAAAAAUUCUAUUCUUUUCCUGAUAUCUUGUAGCACAUGAUGGUGACGAUAUUGUGAACUAGUGUUCUAAUGUAAGAGUGGAAUAGUAAUUUGGAAUUCUUUAUUGGAGAUAUAGCACGAUGCACAUUUGUUGAAGCCUUUAAAGGCGAAGGUCCCCUCAGAAGUUCUUUUUUUGCAUGGAAGCAUGUCGGGAAUUCCAUUAACCAUGGAUAAUAUAAUGAGAAGAAGCUGACAAUUGGCUUUUUUUUCUUUGUUGGAGACCUGGACCUAAAAGGUGAACAAAAUCUGAAUUUUCUUUUUAUGAUAGCUACAAGAUUAGUAAAUGAGUGAAUGUUAGAUUAUUCAGGUAAUAUCUUCAUCGAUGCAUGGAUUUCAGAAAAUACUGUUGACCUAUGUCCAAUGACUUAGUUGUCUUAUCCUCUUUCUCGCUAUUAAUAUUUAACAUGGUUGUCAACAGGAAUUUUUCUCAUUGUUUUGCACUUUUAUAGUUGUUUGAAUAUAGAAGUUAUAACAAACAAUAUCAGUUACUUUUUGUGUCAGAUCAUAAAAUAAAAUAUACCAUUUUUUUAAAAAUAUUUUAGAAGUUUUCUGAUGUGCAUUUCUAUGGAUUCUUUAACUUGUAAAUGAUUCUUUGUUUUUGUGUAUUGCUGUGCCUCCUUUAUGCCCUUUUGGCUUCUCUGAUUAUCUGGAAGGAGAAGUCAAGAAUCAUUCUUUGCGCAUUUGCCUUAUUGGUAAAGUAGAUAAGAAGUUAGGAAUGAAAAAGGCUUUCUUUACGCAUUUUUAUAUUCACCUUUCCCCCAUGACAUUGUUUUUGCCAACAAAAUGGCUCUUGACAUUAUUUUUUUGCUUAUCACCAUUUUGUUCUCUCUUCAAUCAUGAUAUCUUCAAUUCUUUUGGUCCAUUGAAUGAGACUUUCUUUUAUUAUUUUUUUAUUUAUGAAAAUAUGUCUUGAGAAGUUUAGAUUGUGAAUUCUAUGCAUUUUCAUUGUUAUGAGGCUUUUUCAUUGUAGUUUCUAUCUUGUUGACUUUUGUUCUUUGGACAAGUUGUAAGUGCAGUCAUCAAAUUUGUUCUGAUUUUUGCCAAUGGUUAUGGCACAAUUACACAUCUUUUAACAUGCAAAAGUGAGUGCCAGUUGACAGUUGUUCCUUCCAAUCAAAGUUUAUCAUCUCAUCCUUUGCAGUGCAUAUAUUGCAGGUUAUGACCUCAGCAAAGGCCUAGCAGAAGGUGCAUAAGUUAAUUUAUUACACACCUUUGGCAUAUAUAUUGAAGAAUGGCAGAAGGAAUAUCAAGCUUUUGGGGUCCAGUAACAUCUGCUGAUUGGUGUGAGAAAAAUUAUGUCUAUUCUUCUUAUAUUGCAGAGUUUUUCAAUACUAUAUCAAAUAUCCCAAGCAUUCUUUUGGCGCUCAUUGGUCUCAUAAAUGCCCUGAGACAACGAUUUGAAAAGAGGUUUAGUGUACUUAACAUGUCUAAUAUGAUACUUGCUAUUGGAAGCAUGCUGUACCACAGCACGUUACAACAUAUGUAAGUGUUCUUCUGUAUCAAUUGAUAUGGCUCAUCAAUUUCUUUCAACUCCUUUACUAAUUAUUUUUAUGAGUUAGGUGUCCUUUAAAAUUAUCUAUAUAUGUGCUCAGAACAGGAAAAGAUAAUGUCAACUUCCUUGUUUGAGAAGUUAAAAUCUUCUACUUCUUUAGUCAUUAGGAAGGAAAUUUGUGCAUUCAUUUGGAGUUUCUUUAUUGAGCUAGGGAACAAAAGGAUCUGUAUUGAAAAUCACACCAAGCAAAGGUACAAGAAAUGCUUCCAGGUAGCUAAUCCGUUAUAUCAGUUGAUUCUAGGUUUGUACAUGACAUCCAUUAAAUCUUGCUGCUUUUCAUACCUUUUAGAUAGAAUGCAUUCAUAAAAUGCUUAUAUACAAAAUAAAUAUUUGGAUAAAUGAAGACUGUCAUUGCCUGGCUCAGGUGAUGGAAAUUGAGGAGUAUUUAAGUUAGUCCCCUUGAUUUUUAUAGUUUAAGUUUCUAAUCAGAUCAUUUUUGGCACCAUUUGUUAGUUUAAUGUGCUCCUCUGCAGAAAAUUAAAAAAAAAAAGGUUGGGGGGUGGGGGGGUCUUCAGCUUUUUAGUGUCUUCAGCUUUUUAGUGUGUUAAUAAUUUGAUGUAUAUACUUCAAUGUUCUUUGUUGAUUAAUUAAAUUUGGAAGAGAAUAGAAUAAUAUAGAUGAAGGUUUUGAGAGGAAUGGUGAUUGGAUGACUUUGCAACACCUUACGGGUGCUAAGGCAUGCCUUUGCAGCAUUAGUUCCAAUCUGUUGUAGAAAUGUAUCUGGGAAUUAAUUCACUGUCUCUCUGUUGCACUUCCAUCGGCUUGUCAAAGAAUCAAUUUUUAAUGGAAAAAUGUUGAAAAAUCUUUGAAAAUUAAUGUGUUAACAUUUCUGUGCUUGUGUGCCCCCUUUGGAGUAACCAUUGGCUUGGUAUUGUAGUUGAACGAAAGUCAUACCAUGUUAUGUAAACUUGUUUAAUUAUUUGUUUUUUUGUCAUUGUUGGUUACAUUAUGUUGAUUUAAGGUGUGUGUUUUCUCGAACCUAUUUUCAGGCAACAACAAGGUGAUGAAACACCAAUGGUAUGGGAAAUGCUUUUGUAUUUCUACAUCCUUUAUUCGCCAGAUUGGCACUACCGGAGUACAAUGCCCACCUUUUUGUUCCUUUACGGAGCUGCAUUUGCAGUUGUUCAUGCAUUGGUUCGUUUUGGAAUUGGUUUUAAGGUGCACUAUGCAAUCCUUUGUCUUCUCUGCAUACCCCGGAUGUACAAAUACUACAUUUACACAAAGGAUGUGUCCGCAAAGCGGCUUGCAAAAUUAUAUGUGGGUACCAUAUUCUUGGGGAGUCUUUGUUGGCUCUUGGAUCGCAUUCUCUGCAGUGAUAUUUCUCAGUGGUACUUCAACCCACAGGGACAUGCUUUAUGGCAUGUCUUCAUGGGCUUCAAUUCAUAUUUUGCUAACACUUUCCUGAUGUUUUGCCGUGCUCAACAGUUAGGGUGGAAUCCAAAAGUUGUCCACUUCAUGGGUUUUUUCCCAUAUGUUAAGGUUGAAAAACCGAAGACCCAGUGAGAGAUGCUAUCCCUCAUUUGGAGGUAGAUAUAUGGUUUUGGCAGAUGAACAAGCAAUAGCGGUCAAUUUUUUUCUUUUCUUUUAAGUGGAUGUAAAUGGUAGUUGAAUAUUGAGAUCAUCAGUUGGAUUUUGGUUAAUUGAAGUUGUAUAACUAGUGGUUUUGCUUGGAAAGAAAAUGUAUGGUCAGUGUACCAUAUAUUAUUUUCAGAUCAAAUAGGUCCUUCAUUCUCCAAACUUGAAAAUGUAUGCUUGAUGUAUUUGUUUUGUGAUUAAACAUGGAUAGCGUGAAAUGCGUCAAGUUGCAAUUCAUGUGUGCUCAUAUGAGAGAAUCAAUUGACAGCAGUUUGAAUAAAGCAUCUG